AAAACAGAAAUUACUUUCCAUUGAGGGGGUUGAUAUUGAUUUUCAAAACCAACAACAACAACAACAAUACUUUAUUUUAAGAGGGUUACACAGUUAGCUAUAUAACUAAUCUUCCCUGAGGCCCUCAUCAUGAGAAAUCAAACAAAAUGCAAACAUAAACAUUGCAUACAUUAGUAUAAAAAGUCAAGUAUGAUAAUAAUGUUUAGUACAACUUGAUAAAAUGUGAUGUAAAAAAAAUAAACAUGAUGACAUGA
Molecule: long non-coding RNA, 254 nt
Filed under: Mytilus galloprovincialis (Mediterranean mussel)
Lineage: Eukaryota; Metazoa; Mollusca; Bivalvia; Mytilida; Mytilidae
Source: RNAcentral